This 1428-nucleotide ribosomal RNA is filed under the name Enterococcus sp. T56_14. Its description in RNAcentral is "bacterial SSU rRNA". It matches the Rfam family "Bacterial small subunit ribosomal RNA". The record is from RNAcentral. Lineage: Bacteria; Bacillati; Bacillota; Bacilli; Lactobacillales; Enterococcaceae.
UGCAAGUCGAACGCUUCUUUUCCCACCGGAGCUUGCUCCACCGGGAAAAGAGGAGUGGCGAACGGGUGAGUAACACGUGGGUAACCUGCCCAUCAGAAGGGGAUAACACUUGGAAACAGGUGCUAAUACCGUAUAACAAUCGAAACCGCAUGGUUUCGUUUUGAAAGGCGCUUUACGGUGCCGCUGAUGGAUGGACCCGCGGUGCAUUAGCUAGUUGGUGAGGUAACGGCUCACCAAGGCCACGAUGCAUAGCCGACCUGAGAGGGUGAUCGGCCACAUUGGGACUGAGACACGGCCCAAACUCCUACGGGAGGCAGCAGUAGGGAAUCUUCGGCAAUGGACGAAAGUCUGACCGAGCAACGCCGCGUGAGUGAAGAAGGUUUUCGGAUCGUAAAACUCUGUUGUUAGAGAAGAACAAGGGUGAGAGUAACUGUUCACCCCUUGACGGUAUCUAACCAGAAAGCCACGGCUAACUACGUGCCAGCAGCCGCGGUAAUACGUAGGUGGCAAGCGUUGUCCGGAUUUAUUGGGCGUAAAGCGAGCGCAGGCGGUUUCUUAAGUCUGAUGUGAAAGCCCCCGGCUCAACCGGGGAGGGUCAUUGGAAACUGGGAGACUUGAGUGCAGAAGAGGAGAGUGGAAUUCCAUGUGUAGCGGUGAAAUGCGUAGAUAUAUGGAGGAACACCAGUGGCGAAGGCGGCUCUCUGGUCUGUAACUGACGCUGAGGCUCGAAAGCGUGGGGAGCAAACAGGAUUAGAUACCCUGGUAGUCCACGCCGUAAACGAUGAGUGCUAAGUGUUGGAGGGUUUCCGCCCUUCAGUGCUGCAGCUAACGCAUUAAGCACUCCGCCUGGGGAGUACGACCGCAAGGUUGAAACUCAAAGGAAUUGACGGGGGCCCGCACAAGCGGUGGAGCAUGUGGUUUAAUUCGAAGCAACGCGAAGAACCUUACCAGGUCUUGACAUCCUUUGACCACUCUAGAGAUAGAGCUUCCCCUUCGGGGGCAAAGUGACAGGUGGUGCAUGGUUGUCGUCAGCUCGUGUCGUGAGAUGUUGGGUUAAGUCCCGCAACGAGCGCAACCCUUAUUGUUAGUUGCCAUCAUUUAGUUGGGCACUCUAGCAAGACUGCCGGUGACAAACCGGAGGAAGGUGGGGAUGACGUCAAAUCAUCAUGCCCCUUAUGACCUGGGCUACACACGUGCUACAAUGGGAAGUACAACGAGUCGCGAAGUCGCGAGGCUAAGCUAAUCUCUUAAAGCUUCUCUCAGUUCGGAUUGUAGGCUGCAACUCGCCUACAUGAAGCCGGAAUCGCUAGUAAUCGCGGAUCAGCACGCCGCGGUGAAUACGUUCCCGGGCCUUGUACACACCGCCCGUCACACCACGAGAGUUUGUAACACCCGAAGUCGGUGAGGUAACCUUUUUGGAGCCAGCCG